This 494-nucleotide ribosomal RNA is filed under the name Klebsiella pneumoniae. RNAcentral describes it as "bacterial SSU rRNA". It matches the Rfam family "Bacterial small subunit ribosomal RNA", at positions 1049 to 1533 of the family's 1533-position model. The record is from RNAcentral. RNAcentral also lists the same sequence under 1 other name. Lineage: Bacteria; Pseudomonadati; Pseudomonadota; Gammaproteobacteria; Enterobacterales; Enterobacteriaceae.
CUGUCGUCAGCUCGUGUUGUGAAAUGUUGGGUUAAGUCCCGCAACGAGCGCAACCCUUAUCCUUUGUUGCCAGCGGUCCGGCCGGGAACUCAAAGGAGACUGCCAGUGAUAAACUGGAGGAAGGUGGGGAUGACGUCAAGUCAUCAUGGCCCUUACGACCAGGGCUACACACGUGCUACAAUGGCAUAUACAAAGAGAAGCGACCUCGCGAGAGCAAGCGGACCUCAUAAAGUAUGUCGUAGUCCGGAUUGGAGUCUGCAACUCGACUCCAUGAAGUCGGAAUCGCUAGUAAUCGUAGAUCAGAAUGCUACGGUGAAUACGUUCCCGGGCCUUGUACACACCGCCCGUCACACCAUGGGAGUGGGUUGCAAAAGAAGUAGGUAGCUUAACCUUCGGGAGGGCGCUUACCACUUUGUGAUUCAUGACUGGGGUGAAGUCGUAACAAGGUAACCGUAGGGGAACCUGCGGUUGGAUCACCUCCUUACCUUAAAGAA